CCGUAGAGUUUGAUCCUGGCUCAGAUUGAACGCUGGCGGCAGGCUUAACACAUGCAAGUCGAGCGGAGAGAGGUAGCUUGCUACUGAUCUUAGCGGCGGACGGGUGAGUAAUGCUUAGGAAUCUGCCUAUUAGUGGGGGACAACAUUUCGAAAGGAAUGCUAAUACCGCAUACGUCCUACGGGAGAAAGCAGGGGAUCUUCGGACCUUGCGCUAAUAGAUGAGCCUAAGUCGGAUUAGCUAGUUGGUGGGGUAAAGGCCUACCAAGGCGACGAUCUGUAGCGGGUCUGAGAGGAUGAUCCGCCACACUGGGACUGAGACACGGCCCAGACUCCUACGGGAGGCAGCAGUGGGGAAUAUUGGACAAUGGGCGCAAGCCUGAUCCAGCCAUGCCGCGUGUGUGAAGAAGGCCUUAUGGUUGUAAAGCACUUUAAGCGAGGAGGAGGCUACUUUAGUUAAUACCUAGAGAUAGUGGACGUUACUCGCAGAAUAAGCACCGGCUAACUCUGUGCCAGCAGCCGCGGUAAUACAGAGGGUGCAAGCGUUAAUCGGAUUUACUGGGCGUAAAGCGCGCGUAGGCGGCUAAUUAAGUCAAAUGUGAAAUCCCCGAGCUUAACUUGGGAAUUGCAUUCGAUACUGGUUAGCUAGAGUGUGGGAGAGGAUGGUAGAAUUCCAGGUGUAGCGGUGAAAUGCGUAGAGAUCUGGAGGAAUACCGAUGGCGAAGGCAGCCAUCUGGCCUAACACUGACGCUGAGGUGCGAAAGCAUGGGGAGCAAACAGGAUUAGAUACCCUGGUAGUCCAUGCCGUAAACGAUGUCUACUAGCCGUUGGGGCCUUUGAGGCUUUAGUGGCGCAGCUAACGCGAUAAGUAGACCGCCUUGGAGACCCCAUA
RNAcentral lists this ribosomal RNA (889 nucleotides) under Acinetobacter pittii. Its description in RNAcentral is "bacterial SSU rRNA". It matches the Rfam family "Bacterial small subunit ribosomal RNA", at positions 9 to 873 of the family's 1533-position model. The record is from RNAcentral. Lineage: Bacteria; Pseudomonadati; Pseudomonadota; Gammaproteobacteria; Moraxellales; Moraxellaceae.